Molecule: long non-coding RNA, 5582 nt
Organism: Balaenoptera musculus (blue whale)
Lineage: Eukaryota; Metazoa; Chordata; Mammalia; Artiodactyla; Balaenopteridae
Exons: 3
Source: RefSeq, a predicted model, not a curated record
AUUGGUCUUUUAAAGCAGAAUUUUACAACUAGAGGAGAACUUAGAACUCAUCUAUUUCAAUUUCCUCACCAAAGGCAGGAAGAAUGUUUAAUUACCCUAAUGGUUUACCCUAAUUUAUUUAUCAGCAGAAUUAGCUUCCCAGCCCAAGCUGACUUAGAACAGGACUGGCACAGAUUCAUCUGCUUUCACUAGUCCUUUAAGGAAAGAGGGUGGAUGGGGAGAGGUUUUGGUUGUACCUGUUCCUGCUGGCCUGGUGCCUGGUUCCUAGGCAUCAGGCCAGGCCAGAGGCCUUCUAGGAGGCUCUGCGGUAGGGAGGGCCACAUGGUUGGGGAUUUAGGGGCUGGCCUCACUCAAAGCUGACGAAAGGUAGAACCUAUGAGUCCCUUCUGUAAAGUGGCAAGAACACUUCCCUUCUCACCCUACUGUUUUUCAGGCCGCUACUCUCUAUUCCCUUUAUCCAAACCUCAUAGAAUUUUAACCGGGAGAAACUUUUAGACAGCAGUUUGUCUCUUCCUUUUAUAAUAAGGAAAUGGAGAAAGAGAAAGGGAAAAUAUCUUGCCCCAUGGUCAUACUGGUAGUGAUUAUCAAAAAGAAGAGGGUCCCUUUCCACUGAGGACUUCUCUACUGAUCACACUGUGCUUGGGCUGUGAGCUCCGUUUUAUGUCACAAUUCAGUAUACACAUACUAUAUGGGCAUAAGUAGUUUCUGAAACUAACUUAUUGUGCACUCUGAGUUUUUUCUAUUCUAUUUGUAUUCAAAAAGAGUAUUUUGUGUUUCCCUGCUGGUCAUGGCCUUUAAACUGAUUUCACAAUUCACUGACACCUCAGUGACAGCCUGCAAUAUGAAAGUCAGAGAGCUAUAGAUAACUUUGCUAGUUGGGUUCAGGUGUUUACUUGGUGUGAUUCAACUUAUAGGAUAGGAUAGAGCAGCCAGGAAAAUAAAAGCACCUUCUCCCCACAGCCACCCCCCCAGCAAAUGCUGCAUGUGCGACUAAGUCCGAAGCAGACUGGUGUGAAGCGCAUCUAGAGAGUAACGUGUUUCUGCCCAGCGCCGCUGUGCAGUGUUUUCUCUGCACGAGGGCUCUUGGCCAAGGGCCAAGAAAGGUGAACGGGGCUGAAAAUCCUGCCUAUACUCCACGCUAAGCCACAUGCAAAGGUCUCCCCAGAGACACGGGGGGGGGGGGGGCGGCCAUUUUGGACAGACACGGAGAACUUCUGGAAAGCCAGCAUGCAUGGGAUGAUUUUCAAGAUCCCGGGUCUGUGGUGAUUUUGCUCAUUGUGAUUAUGGACUGCGGUACCCAUUUAGUCCUAAUAAGACCAGAGAUAACACAUUGUGAGAGAGAUGAAAAAUGACAUGUAACACUAACGGUGUGUGUUUUCCUCUAAGGGGCUUUUUUCGCUUUCUGCUGCGUAAGAGAAGCUCAGGGGAAAGUGAGAGUCAGGAGGGCUUUUUCGGGAGAAGGCAGCCACUUUGGCUUAGGGAUAUGUAUAGGCCUCUCAACGCCACACGCAAGGAAAACAUGGCACAGAAGCUACACGACAGGGAGUCUUCUGAUGAGGAUGGGAUAUUCUAUAAGGAUGCAGGGGAAGUCAUCAAAGCCCCAGCAGAGAAGCUUCUGGCUGCAUAUUGGGUUGAUGAAGGGGCGGGUGAGGAAAGUGAGUCAGCACACGAGACAGCCACAGAGUGAGCCCUGUUCUGCCUCAAGCCACCUGCAAAUUUUAUUUUCUAAUAUUGGCUUCUCAGCAUUGCUUGCAAAAUACUUAUUUUUCUCAUAGUAAAAUGUAUAAAUUCAUAGCCAAGUCUAACCAUGUGGUAAGGAAUUAAAAUGUAAAUAGUUGAAUAUUUAUACACCACUAACAAGGGCCUGCAAGAAGAAGCAGAGCUGAAACUAGAAUCCCUCAUGGUAGCCAGUACUUCCACAAGAGGAAAUGUGGGCAAAGGAGGAUGAGUAGAAGGAUGAAGAGGGACUUCCCUCCCUCGUUUCCCCAGUAUCAUCAGUCCCUGGGAACUGGAAAACAUACCAUCCUCAAGGGGCAUAGAUCAUUAAAUCAAAUAACAAUUUAUUCUGGUGCUCUCUCUCCUGGGUCAUCAAGUACCAGUUAUUUACAACAUGCUUGACCUCCUGCCCAUAGAGGACCAUCUACUUCUGGCCCCUCUCGUACGGUCAUUGUGGUUGCCAGAAUAUUUGGAUCACCGGGCCUCCCUCCACUGUGGAGCCAAGGCCUGACUUUUCUCCCAAGUUCUCAAACUCAUGUACAAAUGUGUACCCUGUCUUGGUAGGGGGUUCUCCACCAUUUCAAGCUGGUGGAAAAUUCCCAUUGGGUUGUUUUUUUUCUUUAAAAAGAAAUCCCAACCCUUGGAUAACUAGCAGGGAGGUACCAGAAAGACAGGGUAAAGAAGAAUGUGUGAGAGCAGCCAUUGCCCAAGACGGCCCUCCUCAGGCCCUGGCCUCUCCUGACCCCACUGAGGGUCAGCUGUGUGCUGCUCGGCUCCCUCCAGCUCAGCCCAGCCCCAAACCUACCCACCUCCUGCCUCACCCAGCACAGGCCCAGGGCUGCAUGAUUCCAAGUGCUUAUAUAGUGACAGUGCCACCUGCGGAAGGUGCAAAGGCUCUUCCACUCCUGCCAAGAAAGUCAUUAAUCACAUUUCUUAAGUCAGUGAGAGUUAAAUACAUUAAUGAGUAAAAGAAAUUCUGAAUGAACAAGAUUUGAUAAUCUACCAAAAUGACCACAGACAGUGCUGGUGGUUUAGUAAUAUGAGGUGAAGAACUGUGCAAGCCAUGGGGUGAUAGCACACGGUCCCCCAGAGGAUCAGUGGGCCUGGGAGAUAGCCCAGCAGGUUCUGCCAGUUGGGUGGGGUUCCAAGCAAAGUGAACGGCCCAUCAGUUCUGAGUUAUGAGUUUGCUGAUGCUGCAUGAGAGACAUCUGUUCUCUCAGUGCCUGCCCAAGUCACCUCCCAAAGGUUCUUACUGAGAAUGAAAAACAAGUGUUUUUCUCUGGGCGGUGACUUCAGUGAGCCAACAAGUAUUUACUGUGUUUAAGGCGCAUGACUAAUACUACUAACUAUAGGAAGCAGCAGCAGCUAACACUUACCACUUGCUUGCUUGGUGCCAAGCCCUGGGUUAGGCAUCUUAUGGUCUUAUUUAGCCCAACAGUCCGUGGAAGCAUAUCUUGUUAUCCUCAUUUGACAGAUAGGAAACAGGAUUUAAAGAAUGUAGGUAACCUGCUCAAGGACCCAAGGCCCCACGUCCAAAAGUGUGAGUUAAGGUUGGAGCCCAGAACUGUUAGACUCCAACAGGGAUGCAGAGAAGUAUAAGCUGUGUUUGCCACCAAAGAGUUGAUAACAAUGAUAAUAAUGAGGAGAAGGAGGCAGCUGUUUAUUGAGCACCUGCUAUGGACCAGGUACAGUACUAGGCACUUUGGUUACACUAUUAGGUCACAAGAAUGGAAAGUCCCCAUGCCCGCUCAAACUCUGUAAUGAGUGGGGGUCUGAUUUCAGUAAGAGAGGUGGUCACAAAGACAGGGAGCUGACGAGAAACCAGGGGUAGAGAUCCUUGUACUGCUGGGCUUCCCAAAGUGUGGACCAGGAUUCCAGGUAGCUCCAGGUUCCUAGUUUGGGAUAUUUCCAUUAUUUCAAAGUUGGUACAUAAAUGAGGCUUAGAUAAUAUUUUUUGUAUCAUACUACCUCAGAUUUGCACAAUUUUUUAUUAGUCUCAAAUGCUACCCUACCAUAUUUCUAAAUUAAAAUUGCCAAGAGUAAGAUUCUGCUUGGCCCAGCUUGACCGAGAUUGGGCAGUGUUUUUGCCAGAGCCAGAGACUUCACCUGGCCAGCCUGUGAGUGAGCUGUCUCUCCUUGGAUCAGGGAGUCAUCCCUGGCUGUGGCCCAGAAGCAGGAGGGGUGCCCAGGGUCAGGUGGUACAACACAUGGCCGCCUGGGGCUGCCUCUGUCACCAUCUUAUGAUGGACAAACUAGCUCAGAGCCCAACUCCUUACUGAGACCUGCGAGAUAGAAGGGGAGAGGGAGAUACAAGGCCAACAGCUACUAAAUGAAUGCAAAUUCUGAUUCCGAUGAAAUCUGUCAGAGAAUUUAGCCACUUUUUAAAAGAUAAUGAAAUGAGACAAUACAUGAUUAGGGCAAAAAUGAUACAGGGAAGAAAAUUGUAGGAUUCAGAGGAGGGAAGGUUAGGAAACUAGGGAGGGUCCAUGAAAAAGGUAGAACUUGAUCUGGGCCUGGAUUAUAUGCCAGACACUGUGGCUGGUGCUGGGGAAAGAGUGGAUGAGGACAAAGUCCCUUGUCUUGUGGGGCCUUAAGACUGAGAGGAGGCACAGACACCUGAAGAUAUAUUAUACAUAGAAGACAGUGUGUUGACAUGACAAUGGCAGUGUACCAAGAAGUGGUUCAGCUCUUGGUUGGCUGGAAAGGAGUAAAUGUGAGGGAUGGCUUAGAGGAGGGGAAGAAGAAGAAAGCCAAACAGAAGUUUCUUGGGAGGACGAGAUGAAGGAAAGGCAUUCUAGACGGAGGACAGUACAGAGGCAAGAAGCAUGAAACCUUGGGUGGGCUUGAAGCGUGUGCAGUCUGGUGUUGCCAAGCAUGAAGCACAAGGAGGAAAGGGCAGUAGGUGAGGCUGUGCGGGCGAGCAGAGACCCGAUCCCAAAGGGCCUGGUCAAGGCGCAUGGCCUUGACCAAACAGAGCACAAACUACAAUGUUUUAAAUAGAGAAGAGACAUGACCAAGCUUGAGUUUUAUAAAGAGUACUUUGAUGGUGGCCUAAAAGUAGAGAGGCCGAGAGGUCAACUUGGGUGUUUAGACCAAGUAGGAACUGGGAGAAAAUGGGGCACCAGACCAGGGGUUUUGAUGCAACUGAAGAGCAUGUACGCUGGAUACACAUGAGUGAGAACUGGAAGGACAAGAGCUUAUGUUCAGAGAAUGAAAGAUUGUACAUUUAAGAUUUUUUACGACAAAUUCCAGAUGAUGAUAAGGUCCAAAUGUAACCUGGGAAUGGAGAUCAGUGAGGUGUUGGGAAUCCAGAAGGUGAUGAGAAAUAAUUCGGAUAGUCCUGGGCACUCAUUCCUUUCCCCUUUCAGUAGCUCAGUAAAAAGCUAGCUCAGCAGGUACCAGCGAGCUCAAUGGAACAAAUAGGCUCCCCCUCCUACUGCGACCAUUUCUGUCACCAAGCAGUUGCCACUGUUAGUAGUAUAGACGUUCCCUGCCUCACCAUCCCUGUAACUGUGACGCACUCCAGGCUGGCUCCUCCUCUACGGGAACUCUGGUCAUGGGACACACAAUCCAGCUAAGUCUGGUCUAAUCCCCUUCUCUGAAAGCUUGAGGGAUUGAGUGCACCCUGUUAUUGUUCUGCUUAUAAGUUCCCCCCCCCCCGAACAAUAAAAGCCUACUGUAUAUUUGCACAGUAGGGGGUUGAGGAAUUUCGUGCCCAGGAAAAUCUGUGGGUUGUUGGCAUGGUAAGUAUUGUGGUAGAUGUGGAACCUAGAAAAAUGGUACAGAUGAGCCGGUUUGCAGGGCAGAAGUUGAGACACAGAUGUAGAGAACAGACAUAUGGACACCAAGGGGGGAAAACUGCGGUG